Bos grunniens (domestic yak) is the source of this 73-nucleotide small nucleolar RNA. Ensembl annotates it as small nucleolar RNA, C/D box 6. Its record names the gene SNORD6. The record is from Ensembl. NCBI's taxonomy places the organism in Eukaryota, Metazoa, Chordata, Mammalia, Artiodactyla, Bovidae.
GGAUGUUAUGAUGAUGGGCAAAUUGUUCAACUGCUCUGAAUGGGCUGAGUGAAAAUAGCCUUUCUGAACAUCC